RNAcentral lists this ribosomal RNA (227 nucleotides) under uncultured bacterium. RNAcentral's name for it is "partial 16S ribosomal RNA". It matches the Rfam family "Bacterial small subunit ribosomal RNA", at positions 383 to 607 of the family's 1533-position model. The record is from RNAcentral.
CUGAACCAGCCAAGUAGCGUGAAGGAUGACUGCCCUAUGGGUUGUAAACUUCUUUUAUAAAGGAAUAAAGUCGGGUAUGCAUACCCGUUUGCAUGUACUUUAUGAAUAAGGAUCGGCUAACUCCGUGCCAGCAGCCGCGGUAAUACGGAGGAUUCGAGCGUUAUCCGGAUUUAUUGGGUUUAAAGGGAGCGUAGAUGGAUGUUUAAGUCAGUUGUGAAAGUUUGCGG